AGCUCCCACCAGUUCACCUUCAACACCAACCAUGUUCUCUGUAGCUGUGCUGCUGCUGCUGGUUGCUGGAUCCUGUGUGAAAUGUGUCACGUUGACACAGCCAGCGUCUCUGACUGUCCGGCCAGGUCAAACUCUGACCAUCACCUGUCAGGUCUCUUAUUCUCUUAACUAUUACACAGCUUGGUUCAGACAGCCUGCAGGGAAAGUGAUGGAGUGGAUUGGAGUGAAAGAUAGUUAUGGCAAUGAACUCUACAAAGAUUCACUGAAAAACAAGUUCAGUAUUUCCUUAGAUUCUUCCAGCAAGACAGUGACUCUAACUGGACAGAAUCUGCAGCCUGAAGACACUGCUGUGUAUUAUUGUUUGGCAUUCACCAUGGCCCCAGAGGCCCGUUUCAGAAAGCAGGUUUAG
Myripristis murdjan (pinecone soldierfish) is the source of this 409-nucleotide non-coding RNA. NCBI's taxonomy places the organism in Eukaryota, Metazoa, Chordata, Actinopteri, Holocentriformes, Holocentridae. The record is from the annotation of a RefSeq genome assembly.